Molecule: ribosomal RNA, 486 nt
Filed under: uncultured bacterium
Lineage: Bacteria
Description: partial 16S ribosomal RNA
Rfam family: Bacterial small subunit ribosomal RNA
Source: RNAcentral
AUUGAACGCUGGCGGCAUGCCUUACACAUGCAAGUCGAACGGCAGCACGGGUGCUUGCACCUGUUGGCGAGUGGCGAACGGGUGAGUAAUACAUCGGAACAUGUCCUGUAGUGGGGGAUAGCCCGGCGAAAGCCGGAUUAAUACCGCAUACGAUCUACGGAUGAAAGCGGGGGACCUUCGGGCCUCGCGCUAUAGGGUUGGCCGAUGGCUGAUUAGCUAGUUGGUGGGGUAAAGGCCUACCAAGGCGACGAUCAGUAGCUGGUCUGAGAGGACGACCAGCCACACUGGGACUGAGACACGGCCCAGACUCCUACGGGAGGCAGCAGUGGGGAAUUUUGGACAAUGGGCGAAAGCCUGAUCCAGCAAUGCCGCGUGUGUGAAGAAGGCCUUCGGGUUGUAAAGCACUUUUGUCCGGAAAGAAAUCCUUGGCCCUAAUACGGUCGGGGGAUGACGGUACCGGAAGAAUAAGCACCGGCUAACUACGUG